UGGUAGCAAUAUCGAACCUAGAGUGACGUACGGGUGCGUAACACGUAUGCAACCUACCCUUUACAGGAGGAUAGCUCGGGGAAACUCGAAUUAACCCUCCAUAAGAUCAUAGAAUGGCAUCAUUUAGUGAUUAAAACUCAGGUGGUAAAGGAUGGGCAUGCGUCUGAUUAGUUAUUUGGCGGGGUAAAGGCCCACCAAGACGAUGAUCAUUACGGGACCUGAGAGGGUGAUCCCCCACACUGGCACUGAGAUACGGGCCAGACUCCUACGGGAGGCAGCAGUAGGGAAUAUUGGUCAAUGGAUGCAAGUCUGAACCAGCCAUGCCGCGUGCAGGAAGAAGGCCUUCUGGGUUGUAAACUGCUUUUACCAGGGGAUAAAAAUCUCAUGCGUGAGAUAUUGAAGGUACCUGGUGAAUAAGCCACGGCUAACUACGUGCCAGCAGCCGCGGUAAUACGUAUGUGGCAAGCGUAGUCCGGAUUUAUUGGGUUUAAAGGGUGCGUAGGCGGCCCUGUAAGUCAGUGGUGAAAUACUCUAGCUUAACUAGAGGGGUGCCAUUGAUACUGCAGGGCUUGAUUACAGAUGAGGUAGGCGGAAUUGACGGUGUAGCGGUGAAAUGCAUAGAUAUCGUCAAGAUCUCCGAUAGCGAACGCAGCUUACUAAGCUGUAACUGACGCUGAGCACGAAAGUGUGGGGAUCAAACAC
Molecule: ribosomal RNA, 702 nt
Filed under: uncultured bacterium
Lineage: Bacteria
Description: bacterial SSU rRNA
Rfam family: Bacterial small subunit ribosomal RNA
Source: RNAcentral